Scatophagus argus is the source of this 1141-nucleotide long non-coding RNA. RefSeq lists it as uncharacterized. The transcript has 3 exons. NCBI's taxonomy places the organism in Eukaryota, Metazoa, Chordata, Actinopteri, Scatophagidae. The record is from RefSeq and is a predicted model, not a curated record.
UCAUAUUUCAGCUAGCUUGUGUUGUCAGGUUCUAUGAAAUCUGCCUGAGGCCUGCAGAAUCAACACUGCAGUGUCCCAUGCGUACGUGAACGCCGUUCACUUACAGCGCAGUUGGCUAUCGCAACUGACUGUCUCCGUUCAUAGCCAAUCAGAUCUCGAGUCUGCUACAUCAAGGCCAGCUAGCAGGCCUUACGCUGAACUUGACAUGUACGCGUCCUGUGAUUGGGUAAGCCCUCGUGAGAGCCUGAAAGAGGGAAAUACGUUAGCGAUAGAGAUCGAUCCGUUACUGCUGCUAUUGCUGUAUUUAUUUCUUGACCCAUGAUGGCUGAAGGAGGAGAAGAGGUAGAUUUGGUUGCAGAUAUACUUGGCACGCCAUUUUCAAAACGGACCUUUCAGGAAAAGCUGGAUCUUGUGAAGAAGAGGUCGGCCAACCACUAUGCUAACCAGCCUGUCCCAGCAGGAAAAAGGGUUCGUCCGCCAUUUUCAGACAAGCAACCGUGAUCGAUAUGACGCUCACAGUUUUUGAGAAACGCUACAGAUUGUACUGCUGGGAAUACCUGUCGCUUGGAACUGAUCGAUUUGGUUUUUGGAGCUACACUGGAUUUGCGUGUUGCGUGGAGAUCCGUGUUGACUAAUGCGCUGAUGUCAUGAGACUGCACUACCAACGAUCCUGGCAGCUGACGCCGGACUGGACUGUGUACUUCAGCAGAGGAGCCAUUUGUUGCUACUUGGUGUAAUCACAAAGUACAGUGACGAAGACGUGUCUCGUCCUCCUGAAGUCUGAUACCAAACUUCCCCAACCAAGGAGAACAGAAUCGCCUCCCGUCCCAUCGCCAAAACACAGCCACGCCCCAUCCUGCACUUCCUCUGAUCCGUUCUGGAGUCCGUCCAAGAAGAAAAGCACAUGCAUGUAAGCAGCACACACAAAUACACCACAGCCACUCGGUCUGUUUCAUUGGCUUACAUCCGUAAACACACCCACACACACACACACGAGUAAAAGAGCAGGGAAAAUAAGGUGACACGUAAAAACCAAAGGCUAAAUCGUCCAAAACAGAAAGUUAAGUGUCUGUGGUUAAAAGGAAAGAAAAUAACCAAAGGCAUUACAAAAAGCGCCAGGGUUUGCUGUGAGCUCUCAUCG